GUGCUUGCUCAGCAGCACAUAUACUAUAAUUGGAAUGAUACAGAGUCUAGCAUGGCCCCCUGUAAAGGGAUGACACUCAAAUUUGUGAAGCCUUCCAUAUCUUA
Sciurus carolinensis (gray squirrel) is the source of this 104-nucleotide small nuclear RNA. The record is from RefSeq and is a predicted model, not a curated record. Lineage: Eukaryota; Metazoa; Chordata; Mammalia; Rodentia; Sciuridae.